UUAGGAGGUAUCGGUUGGCCAAAAAAUCACAAAAAAUCAAACUUACCGACGGAGGAGUCUUCGGGUGCGGCGGCUCCACCAGUCCUCAUUCGUGGCUGGGGUUUUUUCUUUGGUUAACAUGUACAGAAAAGGACGGUGAACAUAAUGAUUGAAAAAUCGCGUAAAACAGGAAGCGGAAAGAGACUCAUUAAAGAGAUUUUUAAGUUUUGACCACACCAGCUCCGCUAGGUUUUAUCCGUAGUUUUCGGCUCACCCGCUGUUUCUCUUGCUUCGAUAUGGUCAUAGGGAGGCUUGGAAUCGAAUUCCAAAUGGGUAAGAAAUUUUUUUACUAUUUUUAGCGGUCGGCGGUGGCUCCAGUGCAACGGCAAUCGGCGGUCGGCCUUUUUCUUUAGCGCCUAGUUCUUCUUCUUCGGCGUUAGGGUUUGACUUCCCCUGUGACGCGAGGUAUUUAUAUUCAUCCUGCAUCGAUCUGGAC
This 475-nucleotide long non-coding RNA is filed under the name Carica papaya (papaya). Its description in RNAcentral is "long non-coding RNA (CPAP_LNC004579)". Lineage: Eukaryota; Viridiplantae; Streptophyta; Magnoliopsida; Brassicales; Caricaceae. The record is from RNAcentral.